This 539-nucleotide unclassified non-coding RNA is filed under the name Hevea brasiliensis (rubber tree). Lineage: Eukaryota; Viridiplantae; Streptophyta; Magnoliopsida; Malpighiales; Euphorbiaceae. The record is from RNAcentral.
CGCCCAGAUCUGAUCGAUUGCAAAGCAAUUCUGUGCUUUAUGCUUGUCAAAAACACUAAAUUCAGGGUCAGGAUAAUCAUACACCUCUGGAAGAUUACCAUCAGGAACAGUAUCUGAUUCUGAUUCUGACUCUGAAUCAGAACCAGAAUCAGAAUCUGAAUCAAUAGUAAGUUUAACUUUUUUAGCACCACCUGAAGGCAGUCUAGAAGCCUGUUCACUGGCCACAGCUUCUUUCUUCUGAGGUUUACUGUCCUUAAUUGACUGGUGAGCCCAUGAUCUCUUCAGAGGAUUACUAUCUCCAGCUGACUGGUUAGACUGUGCCUUCUUCAGAGGGCUUGCCAAAUCAUUCUCAUCAUUGCGUACAGGAUUAGUAUCUAGUUCAAGAUCAAAAACAACAGGUUCUAUUUUUUUCGCGCCAACUGACGGGAGUCUAGAAUGAGGCUCCAUCUCCGAACUUGAUACAUAAACAUGUGCAAAAUCAUCAUUGAAUUGCAAGAGAGUAUUGACAUCUUCUUGGUCGCUCAGCUGUAUCAAUUGGG